RNAcentral lists this ribosomal RNA (253 nucleotides) under uncultured bacterium. Its description in RNAcentral is "partial 16S ribosomal RNA". It matches the Rfam family "Bacterial small subunit ribosomal RNA", at positions 524 to 776 of the family's 1533-position model. The record is from RNAcentral.
UACGUAGGGUGCGAGCGUUAAUCGGAAUUACUGGGCGUAAAGCGUGCGCAGGCGGUUUUGUAAGCCAGAUGUGAAAUCCCCGGGCUUAACCUGGGAAUGGCAUUUGGGACUGCAAGGCUGGAGUUUGGCAGAGGAGACUGGAAUUCCUGGUGUAGCAGUGAAAUGCGUAGAUAUCAGGAGGAACACCGAUGGCGAAGGCAGGUCUCUGGGCUGAAACUGACGCUCAUGCACGAAAGCGUGGGGAACAAACAGG